RNAcentral lists this long non-coding RNA (1218 nucleotides) under Pogona vitticeps (central bearded dragon). RNAcentral describes it as "lncRNA (ENSPVIG00000004900.1)". The record is from RNAcentral. Lineage: Eukaryota; Metazoa; Chordata; Lepidosauria; Squamata; Agamidae.
GUCUUGCCACUAGAUGGAUGGUGUAGAAAUUAAUUAAAUAAAUGGCAAGCCUCAGGGCAAAGCAGUGUAAAUAGAUGCAUGAAAAGAUCUCAACUUGGAAAAAAAAUUCAAACCUAGGAAGCAAUUUUUAAAAAAAAAAAUCAAUUUAAGGUUUUCUCCCACUCAGCAUUUAAAUGCUUUCACUCCUGUAUGAAUGCUUUGAUGGUCUCUUCUCCAACUGAAGCGCUUUCUGGACUCCAUGCAUUGAUGGGAUUCCUCUCCUGUGGGAAUCCUUCAGUAUUGACGCAGUGUUGCCUUCUAACUGGGGACGGGAAUGACCCACAGUUCACCUGAGUUCACCGGAUCAGGCCCACAAGCGUUGUGCAAGGGCCCUGGAUGCCUUUGCACCCGCUACUGUGUCACAUCUUUGUAGGUGGGACUCCUUUCCACUGGACCAGGGGUCUUUUUAUCCAGCUUGGUGAAUGUCACAGGUUCAGGUGGGCAUGUGGACGUACGCAUGUGCGUGUGUUCCUUCGGCCCUUGAAAAUGUGGUGCAUAUAUGAGCUGGCCCUCCAUCUGGAAAGUUUGGAGAUCCCCCUGCCCUAGAUCUAUACGCCAGGCCCAAUUCCUCUCUAUCUUAACUGGAGGUGGGUAUGAGCCAGAGUUCAGUGGAUCAGGCCCACGAGUGUUGUGCAAGGGCCCUGGAUGCCCAACCCCACCACCCCCUGCGGGCACCCACUCAGAAGAUGUGGCAGGGAAGGCGGUGACUGAGUGGGCGCCCACGGGACGAGGUGGGGCAGGGGCACCCACAUAACACCCGUGAGCCUGAUCCACCCAACCACAGUUUGUGCCCAUCUCUAGGUCUGACUGAAGCACUUUUUCCCAGGCCACGAAGGAAGAACUGUGGUGCUGUUGGAAUUCCUAAUGUAUGUGUGUGAUAUAUAUAACAUUUGCAUCCUAGUCUCUCAAGACUGAAGGAUGCUUAAAACCUUUGCACCCACUACUGUGUCACAUCUUCCUGUGCCUGGCUUCUCUGAGCAGCCACACUGAGAGAGGCCAGAAAAAUGUCAAAGUGCAACCAGGCCUUGUUGUAGGUGAGACUCCCUUCCACUAGACCAGAGGUCUUUUAAUCCAUCUUGGUGAAUGUCACAGGCUCAGGUGGGCAUGUGGACGUGCGCAUGCGCGUGUGUUCCUUCGGCCCUUGACAAUGUGGAUCAUAUAUAAUCUGGUCCUCCAUCU